UACAGAGGGUGCAAGCGUUGUCCGGAAUUAUUGGGCGUAAAGAGCUCGUAGGCGGCCUGUCGCGUCGGAUGUGAAAGCCCGGGGCUUAACCCCGGGUCUGCAUUCGAUACGGGCAGGCUAGAGUGUGGUAGGGGAGAUCGGAAUUCCUGGUGUAGCGGUGAAAUGCGCAGAUAUCAGGAGGAACACCGGUGGCGAAGGCGGGUCUCUGGGCCGAUACUGACGCUGAGGAGCGAAAGCGUGGGGAGCGAACAGG
This 253-nucleotide ribosomal RNA is filed under the name uncultured bacterium. RNAcentral describes it as "partial 16S ribosomal RNA". It matches the Rfam family "Bacterial small subunit ribosomal RNA", at positions 524 to 776 of the family's 1533-position model. The record is from RNAcentral.